GAUGAACGCUGGCGGCGUGCCUAAUACAUGCAAGUCGAGCGAACGGACGAGAAGCUUGCUUCUCUGAUGUUAGCGGCGGACGGGUGAGUAACACGUGGAUAACCUACCUAUAAGACUGGGAUAACUUCGGGAAACCGGAGCUAAUACCGGAUAAUAUUUUGAACCGCAUGGUUCAAAAGUGAAAGACGGUCUUGCUGUCACUUAUAGAUGGAUCCGCGCUGCAUUAGCUAGUUGGUAAGGUAACGGCUUACCAAGGCAACGAUGCAUAGCCGACCUGAGAGGGUGAUCGGCCACACUGGAACUGAGACACGGUCCAGACUCCUACGGGAGGCAGCAGUAGGGAAUCUUCCGCAAUGGGCGAAAGCCUGACGGAGCGACGCCGCGUGAGUGAUGAAGGUCUUCGGAUCGUAAAACUCUGUUAUUAGGGAAGAACAUAUGUGUAAGUAACUUUGCACAUCUUGACGGUACCUAAUCAGAAAGCCACGGCUAACUACGUG
Molecule: ribosomal RNA, 497 nt
Filed under: uncultured bacterium
Lineage: Bacteria
Description: partial 16S ribosomal RNA
Rfam family: Bacterial small subunit ribosomal RNA
Source: RNAcentral